Molecule: ribosomal RNA, 171 nt
Filed under: uncultured bacterium
Lineage: Bacteria
Description: partial 16S rRNA
Rfam family: Bacterial small subunit ribosomal RNA
Source: RNAcentral
CCUACGGGAGGCAGCAGUGAGGAAUUUUCCGCAAUGGGCGAAAGCCUGACGGAGCAACGCCGCGUGAGGGAUGAAGUCUCUAGGGAUGUAAACCUCUGUUGGGAGGGACGAAGAUCUGACGGUACCUCCUGAGGAAGCCCCGGCUAACUACGUGCCAGCAGCCGCGGUAAU